AGGAGGAACAACCCCAGUGGCGGGGCCAGCUCUGGAGCCCUGGAUUCAGCUCCGGCAGGAACUCCGGAGCUCUCGGUCUGCAGGGCCUGGAGGCUCCGGGGCGGG
Molecule: microRNA precursor, 105 nt
Filed under: Canis lupus familiaris (dog)
Lineage: Eukaryota; Metazoa; Chordata; Mammalia; Carnivora; Canidae
Also listed under: 1 other name
Description: mir-8834 microRNA precursor family
Rfam family: mir-8834 microRNA precursor family
Source: Rfam by way of RNAcentral